AACGCACAUUGCGCCCAUUAGUACUCUAGUGGGCAUGCCUGUUCGAGCGUCAUUUCAACCCUCAAGCACUGCUUGGUGUUGGGGCCCUACGCAGCGUAGGCCCUAAAAUUCAGUGGCGGACUCGCUAUGACUCCGAGCGCAGUAAUCUAUUCUCGCUCUGGGCGUCUGGCGCGGCCCUGCCGUUAAACCCCCCAUUUCUCGUGGUUGACCUCGGAUCAGGUAGGAAUACCCGCUGAACUUAA
This 242-nucleotide unclassified non-coding RNA is filed under the name uncultured fungus. RNAcentral describes it as "partial contains 5.8S ribosomal RNA, internal transcribed spacer 2, and large subunit ribosomal RNA". The record is from RNAcentral. Lineage: Eukaryota; Fungi.